RNAcentral lists this microRNA (21 nucleotides) under Citrus sinensis (sweet orange). Its description in RNAcentral is "csi-miR167d-5p". Its record names the gene csi-miR167d-5p. RNAcentral also lists the same sequence under 37 other names. Lineage: Eukaryota; Viridiplantae; Streptophyta; Magnoliopsida; Sapindales; Rutaceae. The record is from miRBase by way of RNAcentral.
UGAAGCUGCCAGCAUGAUCUA